RNAcentral lists this ribosomal RNA (251 nucleotides) under uncultured bacterium. RNAcentral's name for it is "partial 16S ribosomal RNA". It matches the Rfam family "Bacterial small subunit ribosomal RNA", at positions 525 to 775 of the family's 1533-position model. The record is from RNAcentral.
ACGUAGGUGGCAAGCGUUGUCCGGAUUUACUGGGUGUAAAGGGCGUGUAGCCGGAGAGACAAGUCAGAUGUGAAAUCCGCGGGCUCAACCCGCGAACUGCAUUUGAAACUGUUUCCCUUGAGUAUCGGAGAGGUAACCGGAAUUCCUAGUGUAGCGGUGAAAUGCGUAGAUAUUAGGAAGAACACCAGUGGCGAAGGCGGGUUACUGGACGACAACUGACGGUGAGGCGCGAAAGCGUGGGGAGCAAACAG